GGACGAACGCUGGCGGCGUGCUUAACACAUGCAAGUCGUGCGAGAAAAUUCCCUUCGGGGGAUGAGUACAGCGGCGCACGGGUGAGUAACGCGUAAGUUAUCUGCCCCUUGGUCUGGGCAUAACUCCGGGAAACCGGGGCUAAUAGCAGAUUAUAUCGUAAGAUCAAAGCCUUCGGGCGCCAAGGGAUGAGCUUGCGUCCCAUUAGCUAGUUGGCGGGGUAAUGGCCCACCAAGGCACGAUGGGUAGCUGGUCUGAGAGGAUGAUCAGCCACAUUGGGACUGAGACACGG
RNAcentral lists this ribosomal RNA (290 nucleotides) under uncultured bacterium. RNAcentral describes it as "partial 16S ribosomal RNA". It matches the Rfam family "Bacterial small subunit ribosomal RNA", at positions 27 to 329 of the family's 1533-position model. The record is from RNAcentral.